Molecule: non-coding RNA, 236 nt
Filed under: Catenibacterium sp.
Lineage: Bacteria; Bacillati; Bacillota; Erysipelotrichia; Erysipelotrichales; Coprobacillaceae
Description: T-box sequence
Rfam family: T-box leader
About the family: Uncharged tRNA acts as the effector for transcription antitermination of genes in the T-box leader family. T-boxes are found upstream of many aminoacyl-tRNA synthetase genes and some amino acid biosynthetic genes usually in Gram-positive bacteria.
Source: RNAcentral
GAAAAGACAGUGAAAAGAAGAGUACUGUGAUGAAACUUAUACAGAGAGUUCCGUUAGCUGAGAAGGAAUAAAGGGAAGUUAUAGGAAGAUGGUCUUGGAGUUGCAUGGCUGAAAUGUAAGUCAUGACGGGAGCGCCCGUUACAGCGAUAGAGUAUGCAUGUACUCGAAGAGGUUAUUAAGGUGACUUAAUAAUGAAUUUAGGUGGUAACACGAAACAUUACGUUCUCGUCCUAUUA